Molecule: long non-coding RNA, 269 nt
Organism: Talpa occidentalis (Iberian mole)
Lineage: Eukaryota; Metazoa; Chordata; Mammalia; Eulipotyphla; Talpidae
Exons: 3
Source: RefSeq, a predicted model, not a curated record
CGCGCAGCGAGGGCGAGAAGGCACUUGGGAGUGUGGCCGCGGGGCACGCGUGCCUGAUUGUGGACACCUGGAGUAUGGAGUGGGCAUGCGUGUGUACACCUGAGCCUAGAGAAAGGGCUGUAAGAACAGCAUCUCUCAGAGGAGGAGGAUGGCCAUGAGAGGACAAGUGACUACAGAAGAGCAAUGAAUGAUCCUGCUGAGGAGAGCUGGGAGUGCCAUCUAGUUUCUCCACUAACCAGGAUAACAGAAUUGAAAACAGCUAUAAAUUG